GAUGAACGCUAGCGGCAGGCUUAACACAUGCAAGUCGAGGGGUAACAUUGUAGUUUGCUACAGAUGACGACCGGCGAACGGGUGCGUAACGCGUAUAGAAUCUGCCUUGUACAGAGGGAUAGCCUUUAGAAAUGAAGAUUAAUACCUCAUAGUACUGAGAUGUGGCAUCACAUUUUAGUUAAAGAUUUAUCGGUACAAGAUGACUAUGCGUCCUAUUAGCUAGAUGGUAAGGUAACGGCUUACCAUGGCAACGAUAGGUAGGGGGUCUGAGGGGAUUAUCCCCCACACUGGUACUGAGACACGGACCAGACUCCUACGGGAGGCAGCAGUGAGGAAUAUUGGUCAAUGGAGGCAACUCUGAACCAGCCAUGCCGCGUGCAGGAAGACUGCCCUAUGGGUUGUAAACUGCUUUUAUAUGGGAAGAAACGCAGCUACGUGUAGUUGUUUGACGGUACCAUAAGAAUAAGCACCGGCUAACUCCG
RNAcentral lists this ribosomal RNA (482 nucleotides) under uncultured Tenacibaculum sp. RNAcentral's name for it is "bacterial SSU rRNA". It matches the Rfam family "Bacterial small subunit ribosomal RNA", at positions 28 to 505 of the family's 1533-position model. The record is from RNAcentral. Lineage: Bacteria; Pseudomonadati; Bacteroidota; Flavobacteriia; Flavobacteriales; Flavobacteriaceae.